CAGGCACCGUAUAUUUGUUCUGUGAUUGUAGAACCUACAAUCUCCUUUCUGAUAAAGGAAUCCUACUUGUUUCCAUAGAGUAUGACGUCCUCAAAAUAAACUUACACAGAACAUAAUUCGAUUUUUUAAAGUGCUAUAUAUAAAGCAGGUCUCCCCACAGAGAUCAAAGGCCCACUUCCUGCCCACAGUACACGGGGCUGUAUCUAUUUGUCUGCGGAGAUAAGAAGUUCCAAUAUCUGAGCAGAACUAAUUUCAAAGCCUGCUCAGCAGAAUUCUGAUAAAUGUCUUUUAAACGGCUCUGUUGAAAUGUGUAACAGCGCUGUCUUUUUUUUUUUUUUUUUUUUUUUUUAAGACAGGGUCUUGCAUUGCAGCCACUGGAAAGCUUUAUGCCUUAGGGGUGGAAUCACUGGGUGGUAGCAUGCUCAGGGUCAUAUAUUCCUACAACAUUUCAUUGUAUCCCCACUCACCUUGGAUAUUGUUUAUAUCCAGGUAUGUCAGGUGCUACUGGAGAGAAGAAAAAAUUAACAGGUUAUAGUCCUUACCUUCUGAAAUUUGUGGCAUAGUCUAGGAGCAUGAACAACACACAUACACACAGAACAAUUAUUGCGAGAUUAAAACUAAGAAUUUCCAGCCAAGUGCGGUGGCUCACGCCUGUAAUCCCAGCACUUUGGGAGGCCGAGGUGGGCGGAUCACCUAAGGUUAGGAGUUCAAGACCAGCUUGACCAACAUGGAGAAACCCCAUCUCUAUUAAAAAUACAAAAAAAUUAGCUGGGUGUGGUGGCGCAUGCCUGUAAUCCCAGCUUCUCGGGAGGCUGAGGCAGGAGAAUCGCUUGAACCCAGGAGGUGGAGGUUGCAGUGAGCCAAGAUCCUGCCAUUGCAUUCCAGGCUGGACAGCAAGAGCGAAACUCUGUCUCAAAAAAAAAAAAACAAAAAAACCCACACACCCAAAAAAAACUAAGAAUUUCCAUAAAGGGAAAAAAAAAGUGAAAGUAUAAGGAGAAGAGCAUCCACAGUCCCACCUAAGGAGAUCAGGCGACUCUAAUUGAGGCCAGGUAGGUGCUAGCACAGGCUGACACUCAGCGAUUCUGGACGGAGCAAAGGCAACACUGGGAAGUGCUUUGCCAUUCCCUUGAAGAGCUCACCUACCUUCUGCAGUCUGUUCUCAGCCAUGCAGAAUCAAAAACUUGUUUUUUUAAGUACUUUCUAUCAAUUAUUUUUAUUUAUUGUGUAAUCUGCCAUGUAUGAUUUUGAAAGUCCUUUUUUUUUUUCAAUGGGGUCUUGCUCUGUCACCCAGGCUGGAAUGCAGUGGUGCAAAUCACAGCUCACUGCAUCCUCGAGCUCCUGGACUCAAGCAAUCCUCCCGCCUCAGCCUCCCAAGAAGCUAUGACCACAGGCACAUGCCACCAUACCCAGCUAAUUUUUUAAAAUUUUUUUGUAGAGAUGGAGUCUUGCUCUGUUGCCCAGGA
RNAcentral lists this long non-coding RNA (1466 nucleotides) under Homo sapiens (human). RNAcentral's name for it is "non-protein coding lnc-TMEM220-2:1". Lineage: Eukaryota; Metazoa; Chordata; Mammalia; Primates; Hominidae. The record is from RNAcentral.